RNAcentral lists this unclassified non-coding RNA (391 nucleotides) under uncultured Inocybe. Its description in RNAcentral is "sequence contains ITS2". The stretch from base 1 to 145 matches the Rfam family "5.8S ribosomal RNA". Lineage: Eukaryota; Fungi; Basidiomycota; Agaricomycetes; Agaricales; Cortinariaceae. The record is from RNAcentral.
AACUUUUAACAACGGAUCUCGCAUCGAUGAAGAACGCAGCGAAAUGCGAUAAGUAAUGUGAAUUGCAGAAUUCAGUGAAUCAUCGAAUCUUUGAACGCAUCUUGCGCUCCUUGGUAUUCUGAGGAGCAUGCCUGUUUGAGUGUCAUUAAAUUCUCAACUACACUGACUUUGAUUGGUGUGGCUUGGAUUUGGGGGUUGUGGGCUUUUUGUAGUCUGCUCCCCUGAAAUUAAUUAGCGGUACCUUGGUGGAACUGUCUACAGGUGUGAUAAUUAUCUACAUCCUAGACAUCUGCUGGAAUGCUGCUUUCUAGACCUUACUUGUAUUGACAAUCUUGACCUCAAAUCAGGUAGGACUACCCGCUGAACUUAAGCAUAUCAAUAAGCGGAGGCU